CCCGUAGAUGUUCUGGGCUGCACGCGCGCUACACUGAUGCGUUCAACGAGUUUAUGACCUUGCCCGAUAGGGUUGGGUAAUCUUUUUAAAUCGCAUCGUGAUGGGGAUAGAUUAUUGCAAUUAUUAAUCUUCAACGAGGAAUUCCUAGUAAGCGCGAGUCAUCAGCUCGUGCUGAUUACGUCCCUGCCCUUUGUACACACCGCCCGUCGCUCCUACCGAUUGAAUGGUCCGGUGAAAUCUCGGGACGGCGGCUUGGUCGCUUGCGUCCGACUGCUGAAACUUGAUUAAACCAUAUCAUUUAGAGGAAGGUGAAGUCGUAACA
This 322-nucleotide ribosomal RNA is filed under the name uncultured eukaryote. RNAcentral describes it as "partial 18S ribosomal RNA". It matches the Rfam family "Eukaryotic small subunit ribosomal RNA", at positions 1470 to 1796 of the family's 1831-position model. The record is from RNAcentral.